GGUUAAGUUAGAAAGGGCGCACGGUGGAUGCCUUGGCACUAGGAGCCGAUGAAGGACGGGACGAACACCGAUAUGCUUCGGGGAGCUGUAAGCAAGCUUUGAUCCGGAGAUUUCCGAAUGGGGAAACCCACCACUCGUAAUGGAGUGGUAUCCAUAUCUGAAUACAUAGGAUAUGAGAAGGCAGACCCGGGGAACUGAAACAUCUAAGUACCCGGAGGAAGAGAAAGCAAAUGCGAUUCCCUGAGUAGCGGCGAGCGAAACGGGAUCAGCCCAAACCAAGAGGCUUGCCUCUUGGGGUUGUAGGACACUCUGUACGGAGUUACAAAGGAACGAGGUAGAUGAAGAGGUCUGGAAAGGCCCGCCAUAGGAGGUAACAGCCCUGUAGUCAAAACUUCGUUCUCUCCUGAGUGGAUCCUGAGUACGGCGGAACACGUGAAAUUCCGUCGGAAUCCGGGAGGACCAUCUCCCAAGGCUAAAUACUCCCUAGUGACCGAUAGUGAACCAGUACCGUGAGGGAAAGGUGAAAAGCACCCCGGAAGGGGAGUGAAAGAGAUCCUGAAACCGUGUGCCUACAAGUAGUCAGAGCCCGUUAACGGGUGAUGGCGUGCCUUUUGUAGAAUGAACCGGCGAGUUACGAUCCCGUGCAAGGUUAAGCAGAAGAUGCGGAGCCGCAGCGAAAGCGAGUCUGAAUAGGGCGAAUUGAGUACGUGGUCGUAGACCCGAAACCAGGUGAUCUACCCAUGUCCAGGGUGAAGUUCAGGUAACACUGAAUGGAGGCCCGAACCCACGCACGUUGAAAAGUGCGGGGAUGAGGUGUGGGUAGGGGUGAAAUGCCAAUCGAACCUGGAGAUAGCUGGUUCUCUCCGAAAUAGCUUUAGGGCUAGCCUCAAGGUAAGAGUCUCGGAGGUAGAGCACUGAUUGGACUAGGGGCCCCUACCGGGUUACCGAAUUCAGUCAAACUCCGAAUGCCGAUGACUUAUCCUUGGGAGUCAGACUGCGAGUGAUAAGAUCCGUAGUCGAAAGGGAAACAGCCCAGACCGCCAGCUAAGGUCCCAAAGUAUACGUUAAGUGGAAAAGGAUGUGGAGUUGCUUAGACAACCAGGAUGUUGGCUUAGAAGCAGCCACCAUUUAAAGAGUGCGUAAUAGCUCACUGGUCGAGUGACUCUGCGCCGAAAAUGUACCGGGGCUAAACGUAUCACCGAAGCUGCGGACUGUUCUUCGAACAGUGGUAGGAGAGCGUUCUAAGGGCUGUGAAGCAAGACCGGAAGGACUUGUGGAGCGCUUAGAAGUGAGAAUGCCGGUAUGAGUAGCGAAAGAGGGGUGAGAAUCCCCUCCACCGAAUGCCUAAGGUUUCCUGAGGAAGGCUCGUCCGCUCAGGGUUAGUCGGGACCUAAGCCGAGGCCGAAAGGCGUAGGCGAUGGAUAACAGGUUGAUAUUCCUGUACCACCUCCUCACCAUUUGAGCAAUGGGGGGACGCAGGAGGAUAGGGUAAGCGCGGUAUUGGAUAUCCGCGUCCAAGCAGUUAGGCUGGGAAAUAGGCAAAUCCGUUUCCCGUGAAGGCUGAGCUGUGAUGGCGAGCGAAUUAUAGUAGCGAAGUUCCUGAUUCCACACUGCCAAGAAAAGCCUCUAGCGAGGUGAGAGGUGCCCGUACCGCAAACCGACACAGGUAGGCGAGGAGAGAAUCCUAAGGUGAUCGAGAGAACUCUCGUUAAGGAACUCGGCAAAAUGACCCCGUAACUUCGGGAGAAGGGGUGCUCUGUUAGGGUGCAAGCCCGAGAGAGCCGCAGUGAAUAGGCCCAGGCGACUGUUUAGCAAAAACACAGGUCUCUGCGAAGCCGUAAGGCGAAGUAUAGGGGCUGACGCCUGCCCGGUGCUGGAAGGUUAAGAGGAGCGCUUAGCGUAAGCGAAGGUGCGAAUUGAAGCCCCAGUAAACGGCGGCCGUAACUAUAACGGUCCUAAGGUAGCGAAAUUCCUUGUCGGGUAAGUUCCGACCCGCACGAAAGGCGCAACGAUCUGGGCACUGUCUCAACGAGAGACUCGGUGAAAUUAUAGUACCUGUGAAGAUGCAGGUUACCCGCGACAGGACGGAAAGACCCCGUGGAGCUUUACUGCAGCCUGAUAUUGAAUGUUGGUACAGCUUGUACAGGAUAGGUAGGAGCCUUGGAAACCGGAGCGCCAGCUUCGGUGGAGGCAUCGGUGGGAUACUACCCUGGCUGUAUUGACCUUCUAACCCGCCGCCCUUAUCGGGCGGGGAGACAGUGUCAGGUGGGCAGUUUGACUGGGGCGGUCGCCUCCUAAAAGGUAACGGAGGCGCCCAAAGGUUCCCUCAGAAUGGUUGGAAAUCAUUCGCAGAGUGUAAAGGCACAAGGGAGCUUGACUGCGAGACCUACAAGUCGAGCAGGGACGAAAGUCGGGCUUAGUGAUCCGGUGGUUCCGCAUGGAAGGGCCAUCGCUCAACGGAUAAAAGCUACCCCGGGGAUAACAGGCUUAUCUCCCCCAAGAGUCCACAUCGACGGGGAGGUUUGGCACCUCGAUGUCGGCUCAUCGCAUCCUGGGGCUGUAGUCGGUCCCAAGGGUUGGGCUGUUCGCCCAUUAAAGCGGUACGCGAGCUGGGUUCAGAACGUCGUGAGACAGUUCGGUCCCUAUCCGUCGUGGGCGCAGGAAAUUUGAGAGGAGCUGUCCUUAGUACGAGAGGACCGGGAUGGACGCACCGCUGGUGUACCAGUUGUUCUGCCAAGGGCAUCGCUGGGUAGCUAUGUGCGGACGGGAUAAGUGCUGAAAGCAUCUAAGCAUGAAGCCCCCCUCAAGAUGAGAUUUCCCAUUCCGCAAGGAAGUAAGAUCCCUGAAAGAUGAUCAGGUUGAUAGGUCUGAGGUGGAAGUGUGGCGACACAUGGAGCUGACAGAUACUAAUCGAUCGAGGACUUAACCAA
RNAcentral lists this ribosomal RNA (2930 nucleotides) under Bacillus velezensis. Its description in RNAcentral is "23S ribosomal RNA". It matches the Rfam family "Bacterial large subunit ribosomal RNA". The record is from RNAcentral. Lineage: Bacteria; Bacillati; Bacillota; Bacilli; Caryophanales; Bacillaceae. RNAcentral also lists the same sequence under 1 other name.